RNAcentral lists this long non-coding RNA (1101 nucleotides) under Homo sapiens (human). RNAcentral's name for it is "PREDICTED lncRNA (TCONS_00108680)". Lineage: Eukaryota; Metazoa; Chordata; Mammalia; Primates; Hominidae. The record is from RNAcentral.
GCCCCCGCUGCCCCGUUAACCCCUCGUCCACCGCCGCCGUCGGAGGGGGCUGGGAAGUCGCCUGGGCACACACGUGCCGCCUCCGUUGGGGCCGCGGAGCUGCGGGGGAGAUGCGGGCCGCUGCCGGCGCCGCCUCGGGGCGCUCCGCCUCGCCCCAGCCCCCGGCGCUCUGACGCCGCCCCCGCCCCACAGCCUCCCUCCCCGGGAGGGGCGCAGACCCGAUCGCCCCCAGUCCCGAGCCUCCGCCGCCGCGAGGGGGCCGCCUUUGGAUCCGUGUAAUCCGCCUCUUUUUUUCUAUUUUCUUUUUUUUUUUUUUUUUUUUUUUCUAAUUUUUGGUUGGUGGCGGCGGUGCUGGGCCAGGGGAAGGAAGGGACACGGAGGCCGCCCUCGCCCCGCCACCUCCUACCAGCUUCCCCCCAGCCCCGGCUCCGGGAGAUGUGCCGGGCGGGGGGCCCGGGUUCGCCGAGCCGCAGGAGAGACACGCUGGGCCGACCCCAGAGCGGCGCUGGACAGGAAAACAUUUAAAGUUGAUGAUAUGUUAUCAAAAGUAGAGAAAAUGAAAGGAGAGCAAGAAUCUCAUAGAUAAGCCAUCACCAAACUCAGAAAAUGAACAAAAUUCUGUUACCCUGGAAGUCCUGCUUGUGAAAGUUUGCCACAAAAAAAGAAAGGAUGUAUGUUGUCCAAUAAGGCAAGUUCCCACAGAGUGACUCGUCCAAGAAGAAGAGAGUUUAAUGGAAUGAUUAAUGGAGAAACCAUGAAAAUAUUGAUGUCAGUGAAGAGCUUCCAGCCAGAAGAAAAUGAAAUCGUGAGGAUGGGGAAAAGACAUUUGUUGCACAAAUGACAGUAUUUGAUAAAAACAGGCGCUUACAGCUUUUAGAUGGGGAAUAUGAAGUAGCCAUGCAGGAAAUGGAAGAAUGUCCAAUAAGCAAGAAAAGAGCAACAUGGGAGACUAUUCUUGAUGGGAAGCUAUGGACUACUUAGAAGGUUGAGCACAUUAUAGUUAUGAACUCCCAUUUUUGAUUGAUGUUUUCUUCCCCAAAUGCUAAUUCAUGUUGGAAGUAGAGGCCUUUGUUUUUUAUACUUUAAAAAACACAAGUAAAU